This 629-nucleotide ribosomal RNA is filed under the name uncultured Russulaceae. Its description in RNAcentral is "LSU rRNA". It matches the Rfam family "Eukaryotic large subunit ribosomal RNA", at positions 47 to 649 of the family's 3401-position model. Lineage: Eukaryota; Fungi; Basidiomycota; Agaricomycetes; Russulales; Russulaceae. The record is from RNAcentral.
UAAGCGGAGGAAAAGAACUAACAAGGAUUCCCCUAGUAACUGCGAGUGAAGCGGGAAAAGCUCAAAUUUGGAAUCUGGUGGUCUUNGGCCAUCCGAGUUGUAAUUUAGAGAAGCGUCUUCCGCGCUGGACCGUGCACAAGUCUCCUGGAAUGGAGCGUCAUAGAGGGUGAGAAUCCCGUCUUUGGCAUGGAAUCCCAGGGCUUCUGUGAUGCGCUCUCGACGAGUCGAGUUGUUUGGGAAUGCAGCUCAAAAUGGGUGGUGAACUCCAUCUAAAGCUAAAUAUUGGCGAGAGACCGAUAGCGAACAAGUACCGUGAGGGAAAGAUGAAAAGCACUUUGGAAAGAGAGUGAAACAGUACGUGAAAUUGUUGAAAGGGAAACGCUUGAAGUCAGUCGCGUCGACCGAGACUCAGCCUUGCCUCGGCUUGGUGUACUUCUCGGCUUGACGGGUCAGCAUCGAUUUCAAUCCUCGGAUAAUGGCAAGGGAAAGGUAGCACCUUUUUAGGUGUGUUAUAGUCCUCUGUCGCAUGCGAGGGUCGGGAUCGAGGAACUCAGCACGCACCUCAGGGUGUCGGGGCCUUGGCCCACGUUUACGUGCUUAGGAUGCUGGCGUAAUGGCUUUAAACGACC